GAUGAACGCUGGCGGCGUGCCUAAUACAUGCAAGUCGAGCGAACAGAUGAGGAGCUUGCUCCUCUGACGUUAGCGGCGGACGGGUGAGUAACACGUGGAUAACCUACCUAUAAGACUGGGAUAACUUCGGGAAACCGGAGCUAAUACCGGAUAAUAUAUUGAACCGCAUGGUUCAAUAGUGAAAGACGGUUUUGCUGUCACUUAUAGAUGGAUCCGCGCCGCAUUAGCUAGUUGGUAAGGUAACGGCUUACCAAGGCAACGAUGCGUAGCCGACCUGAGAGGGUGGUCGGCCACACUGGAACUGAGACACGGUCCAGACUCCUACGGGAGGCAGCAGUAGGGAAUCUGUCGCAAUAGGCGGAAGCCUGACGGAGCAACGCCGCGUGAGUGAUGAAGGUCUUCGGAUCGUAAAACUCUGUUAUUAGGGAAGAACAAAUGUGUAAGUAACUAUGCACGUCUUGACGGUACCUAAUCAGAAAGCCACGGCUAACUACGUG
RNAcentral lists this ribosomal RNA (497 nucleotides) under uncultured bacterium. RNAcentral's name for it is "partial 16S ribosomal RNA". It matches the Rfam family "Bacterial small subunit ribosomal RNA", at positions 28 to 507 of the family's 1533-position model. The record is from RNAcentral.